AGGGCACCACCAGGAGUGGAGCCUGCGGCUUAAUUUGACUCAACACGGGAAACCUCACCAGGCCCGGACACCGGAAGGAUUGACAGAUUGAUAGCUCUUUCUUGAUUCGGUGGGUGGUGGUGCAUGGCCGUUCUUAGUUGGUGGAGCGAUCUGUCUGGUUAAUUCCGAUAACGAACGAGACUCUGUCCUGCUAACUAGGCGGGUGUCCGUUGCGGCCGGCGGUGCAGCGAUGCGCCAUUGGUUAGCGACGGAACGGUAUCCCCGAAUGCGUGCGACCGACGGGUAUUCUAGUUUCGGCGGUGUCCGGGCGUAUGCACGCGUGUUUCACGAUGCGUGCGUGUGCGUUCGGUGCCGUCGGACGGGCCUGUCGGUUGCCGUUUCAUCGGGCUACUGCCGGCUUUCUGGCUUAAACUCUUCUUAGAGGGACAGGCGGCGUUACUUUUUAGCCGCACGAGACUGAGCGAUAACAGGUCUGUGAUGCCCUUAGAUGUUCUGGGCCGCACGCGCGCUACACUGAAG
This 519-nucleotide ribosomal RNA is filed under the name uncultured eukaryote. RNAcentral's name for it is "bacterial SSU rRNA". It matches the Rfam family "Eukaryotic small subunit ribosomal RNA", at positions 1161 to 1508 of the family's 1831-position model. The record is from RNAcentral.